CUUCCGAAACUACCCCUGCCCGCCGUCGUACGCAAACGCCACAGAACAUCCGGGCAAAGGAUAUUACCGGCAUUACUGGAAAUUCUAUAAAACCUCUCCCUUCAAAAGUUCAAAACCCAGAGCAACUUCAGAAGUCCAAAACCCUAGCCCCAAAUUCAACUCAUUUGUUUUUCCUCUCAAGAAGAAGAUUUAAUGGCGGAUAAAACGAUUUCUCUGGACGGUAUCAAGGCCUUUUGGAACUCCCAGGUUCACGAUCCUGCUAAGUGGGAUCACAACGUGAAAUUACUCCGUGCAGUAGGUAUUUUCGCUGGAUCUAUUGUGUUGAUGCGCCAGUAUGGUGAUAUGAUGGGCAUUUGAGAGAUCGGGCAAGGAGUUUGAGCUUCUUGUUGGUAGGAUGGAGUAGUUGGACGCAUGUUUGCUUUAUCUUCAGUUUACCCCUCUGCUUAUGAUCUUUGAAUGGAUCGCCUUUUAGACUAGCAAAUCCAUGGAAGAAGUACUUAUACACUUGUAAAAUUUUGAUUCAAGUCUACUGGGGUUUUAUGUGACAUGGUAGUAUUUUCCUAGCAUAUAUGUCCUCCAUCCAAAGAGAAUGAGCAAAACCAAAUUUUCUACUA
This is a long non-coding RNA of Salvia splendens (bonfire salvia), 614 nucleotides long. RefSeq lists it as uncharacterized. NCBI's taxonomy places the organism in Eukaryota, Viridiplantae, Streptophyta, Magnoliopsida, Lamiales, Lamiaceae. The record is from RefSeq and is a predicted model, not a curated record. The transcript is spliced from 2 exons.